GGUUUGAUCCUGGCUCAGACGAACGCUGGCGGGAUGCUUGCCACAUGCAGUCAGGCAGCAGCACGGACUUCAGUCUGGUGGCGAGUGGCGAACGGGUGGUAAUGUAUCGGAACGUGCCUAGUAGCGGGGGAUAACUACGCUUGAAAGCGUAGCCUAAUGCUUCCACGCCGCCCUUCGGGAGGAAAGCAGGGACCUUCGGGCACUCGCACUGUCGGCAACCGAUAUCGGAUUAGCUAGUUGGUGGGGGUAACGGCUCGCAAGGCGACGUCGGCCAGCUGGUUUGAGAGGACGACCAACCACGCUGGGACUGAGACACGGCCCAGACUCCUACGGGAGGCAGCGGUGGGGAAUUUUGGACAAUGGGGAAACCCUGAUCCAGCCAUCCCGCGUGUGCGUUGAAGGCCUUCGGGUUGUAAAGCACUUUUGGCAGGAAAGAAACGGCACGGGAUAAUACCCCGUGCAACUGACAGCCGCCUGGAGAAUAAGCACCGGCUAACUACGUGCCGAAAGCAGCCGCGGUAAUACGUAGGGUGCAAGCGUUGAUCGGAAUUACUGGGCGUAAAGCGUGCGCAGGCGGUUCGGAAGAAAGAUGCUGAAAUCCCAGAGCUUAACUUUGGAACUGCAUUUUUGACUACCGGAGCUAGAGUGUGUCAGGGGAGGUGGAAUUCCGCGAUGUAGCAGUGAAAUGCACGUAGAUAUGCGGAGGAACACCGAUGGCGAAGGCAGCCUCCUGGGAUAACACUGACGCUCAUGCACAGCCACGUGAGGCAAACAGGAUUAGAAUACCUGGUAGUCCACGCCUAAACGAUGUCAACUAGCUGUUGGGGCCUUCGGGCCUUGGUAGCGCAACUAUCUUGCGUGAAGUUGACCGCCUGGGAGAUGCAGUAUAGGAUUAAAACUCAAAGGAAUUGACGGGGACCCGCACAAGCGGUGGAUGAUGUGGAUUAAUUCGAUGCAACGCGAAAAACCUUACCUACCCUUGACAUGUCUGGAAUCCCGAAGAGAUUUGGGAGUGCUCGCACUUAAGGAACCGGAACACAGGUGCUGCAUGGCUGUCGUCAGCUCGUGUCAUUACGAGAUGUUGGGUUAAGUCCACAUAGCAGACAACCCUUGUCAUUAGUUGCUACGAAAGGGCACUCUAAUGAGACUGCCGGUGACAAACCGGAGGAAGGUGGGGAUGACGUCAAGUCACUGCUGGCCCAUAUGGGUAGGGCUUCACACAUCGCCUGGUCGGGACAGAGGUCGCCAACCCGCGAGGGAGCAAUCCCAGAAACCACGAUCGUAGUCCGGAUCGCAGUCUGGCGCUCGACUGCGUGAAGUCGGAAUCGCUAGUAAUCGCGGAUCAGCAUGUCGCGGUGAAUACGUUCCCGGGUCUUGUACACACCACCCGUCACCAUGGGAGUGGGUUUUACCAAGUAGUUAGCCUAACCGUAAGGAGGGCGAUUACCACGGUAGGAUUCAUGACUGGGGUGAAGUCGUAACAAGGUAG
This 1489-nucleotide ribosomal RNA is filed under the name uncultured Bordetella sp. RNAcentral's name for it is "partial 16S-23S ribosomal RNA intergenic spacer". It matches the Rfam family "Bacterial small subunit ribosomal RNA". The record is from RNAcentral. Lineage: Bacteria; Pseudomonadati; Pseudomonadota; Betaproteobacteria; Burkholderiales; Alcaligenaceae.